Molecule: ribosomal RNA, 833 nt
Filed under: Corynebacterium sp. HMSC05C01
Lineage: Bacteria; Bacillati; Actinomycetota; Actinomycetes; Mycobacteriales; Corynebacteriaceae
Description: bacterial SSU rRNA
Rfam family: Bacterial small subunit ribosomal RNA
Source: RNAcentral
GGUACUCGAGUGGCGAACGGGUGAGUAACACGUGGGUGAUCUGCCCCGCACUUCGGGAUAAGCCUGGGAAACUGGGUCUAAUACCGGAUAGGACCACUUCUUGGAGGUUGUGGUGGAAAGUUUUUUCGGUGUGGGAUGAGCUCGCGGCCUAUCAGCUUGUUGGUGGGGUAAUGGCCUACCAAGGCGUCGACGGGUAGCCGGCCUGAGAGGGUGUACGGCCACAUUGGGACUGAGAUACGGCCCAGACUCCUACGGGAGGCAGCAGUGGGGAAUAUUGCACAAUGGGCGCAAGCCUGAUGCAGCGACGCCGCGUGGGGGAUGACGGCCUUCGGGUUGUAAACUCCUUUCGCUAGGGACGAAGCGUUAUGUGACGGUACCUAGAGAAGAAGCACCGGCUAACUACGUGCCAGCAGCCGCGGUAAUACGUAGGGUGCGAGCGUUGUCCGGAAUUACUGGGCGUAAAGAGCUCGUAGGUGGUUUGUCGCGUCGUUUGUGUAAGCCCGCAGCUUAACUGCGGGACUGCAGGCGAUACGGGCAUAACUUGAGUGCUGUAGGGGAGACUGGAAUUCCUGGUGUAGCGGUGGAAUGCGCAGAUAUCAGGAGGAACACCGAUGGCGAAGGCAGGUCUCUGGGCAGUAACUGACGCUGAGGAGCGAAAGCAUGGGGAGCGAACAGGAUUAGAUACCCUGGUAGUCCAUGCCGUAAACGGUGGGCGCUAGGUGUGAGUCCCUUCCACGGGGUUCGUGCCGUAGCUAACGCAUUAAGCGCCCCGCCUGGGGAGUACGGCCGCAAGGCUAAAACUCAAAGGAAUUGACGGGGGCCCGCACAAGCGG